GGGGACGUAGCUCAAUUGGUAGAGCAUCUGCUUUGCAAGCAGAAGGUCGUGGGUUCGAUUCCCAUCGUCUCCACCA
Molecule: transfer RNA, 76 nt
Filed under: Ilumatobacter coccineus YM16-304
Lineage: Bacteria; Bacillati; Actinomycetota; Acidimicrobiia; Acidimicrobiales; Ilumatobacteraceae
Also listed under: 5 other names
Description: tRNA-Ala (TGC) (tRNA-Ala-TGC-1-1)
Rfam family: tRNA
About the family: Transfer RNA (tRNA) molecules are approximately 80 nucleotides in length. Their secondary structure includes four short double-helical elements and three loops (D, anti-codon, and T loops).
Source: RNAcentral